GAUGAACGCUGGCGGCGUGCCUAAUACAUGCAAGUCGAGCGAAUGGAUUAAGAGCUUGCUCUUAUGAAGUUAGCGGCGGACGGGUGAGUAACACGUGGGUAACCUGCCCAUAAGACUGGGAUAACUCCGGGAAACCGGGGCUAAUACCGGAUAACAUUUUGAACCGCAUGGUUCGAAAUUGAAAGGCGGCUUCGGCUGUCACUUAUGGAUGGACCCGCGUCGCAUUAGCUGGUUGGUGAGGUAACGGCUCACCAAGGCAACGAUGCGUAGCCGACCGGAGAGGGUGAGCGACCACACUGGGAGUGAGACACGGCCCAGACUCCUACGGGGGGAAGCAGUGGGAAAUCUUCCGCAGUGGACGAAAGUGUGACGGGGCAGCGCGGCGUGAGUAAUGAAGGCUUUCGGGUCGAAAAGCUCUUUUGUUAGGAAAGAACAAGGGCUAGUUGAAUAAGCGGGACCUUUGACGGUACCUAACCAGAAAGCCACGGCUAACAACGUGCAAGCCGCCGGGGUAA
This 515-nucleotide ribosomal RNA is filed under the name uncultured bacterium. RNAcentral describes it as "partial 16S ribosomal RNA". It matches the Rfam family "Bacterial small subunit ribosomal RNA", at positions 28 to 523 of the family's 1533-position model. The record is from RNAcentral.